RNAcentral lists this ribosomal RNA (443 nucleotides) under uncultured bacterium. RNAcentral's name for it is "partial 16S ribosomal RNA". It matches the Rfam family "Bacterial small subunit ribosomal RNA", at positions 338 to 795 of the family's 1533-position model. The record is from RNAcentral.
CCUACGGGAGGCUGCAGUGGGGAAUAUUGGACAAUGGGGGGAACCCUGAUCCAGCGACGCCGCGUGAGUGAAGAAGUAUUUCGGUAUGUAAAGCUCUAUCAGCAGGGAAGAAAGAAAUGACGGUACCUGACUAAGAAGCCCCGGCUAACUACGUGCCAGCAGCCGCGGUAAUACGUAGGGGGCAAGCGUUAUCCGGAUUUACUGGGUGUAAAGGGAGCGUAGACGGCGAUGCAAGUCUGAAGUGAAAGGCGGGGGCCUAACCCCUGGACUGCUUUGGAAACUGUAUGGCUGGAGUGCAGGAGAGGUAAGUGGAAUUCCUAGUGUAGCGGUGAAAUGCGUAGAUAUUAGGAGGAACACCAGUGGCGAAGGCGGCUUACUGGACUGUAACUGACGUUGAGGCUCGAAAGCGUGGGGAGCAAACAGGAUUAGAUACCCCGGUAGUC